UCCCUAUGGAUCCCUAACCCCUCAGACCUAAAUAUUGCUCUGCGUGGUUAUGAAAAAGAGGAAAAGUAAAACUGAAGAAGACUUGAAGUCUUUAGUGACGUACAGGUUCAUUUCAAACAGAU
Molecule: small nucleolar RNA, 122 nt
Filed under: Echinops telfairi (small Madagascar hedgehog)
Lineage: Eukaryota; Metazoa; Chordata; Mammalia; Afrosoricida; Tenrecidae
Description: Small nucleolar RNA SNORA61 (ENSETEG00000026146.1)
Source: RNAcentral